Triticum aestivum (bread wheat) is the source of this 135-nucleotide non-coding RNA. The record is from Rfam. Lineage: Eukaryota; Viridiplantae; Streptophyta; Magnoliopsida; Poales; Poaceae.
CAAAUACUCCCUCCGUCCAGAAAUACUUGUCAUCAAAAUGGAUAAAAGGAAAUGUAUCGAUACAUAUUUUAGUUUUAGAUACAUCUAUUUUUAUCCAUUUUGUUGACAAGUAUCUUCGGACGGAGGGAGUAGAAA